This 445-nucleotide ribosomal RNA is filed under the name uncultured Phycisphaerales bacterium. RNAcentral describes it as "bacterial SSU rRNA". It matches the Rfam family "Bacterial small subunit ribosomal RNA", at positions 29 to 505 of the family's 1533-position model. Lineage: Bacteria; Pseudomonadati; Planctomycetota; Phycisphaerae; Phycisphaerales. The record is from RNAcentral.
CGCGAACGCUGGCGGCAUGGCUAAAACAUGCAAGUCGAGCGCGAAAUCCCCCUCGGGGGAGAGUAGAGCGGCGAAAGGGCGAGGAAUGCGUUUCUAUGUACCCCGCGGUCGAGGAUAGCCCAGGGAAACUUGGAUUAAUACUCGAUGUGGUCUCAGGAUCAAAGGCUUCGGCCGCCGUGGGAGCGGGGAACGUCCUAUCAGGUUGUUGGUGAGGUAAUGGCUCACCAAGCCUCAGACGGGUAGCUGGUGUGAGAGCACGACCAGCCGCAUCGGGACUGAGACACUGCCCGGACUCCUACGGGAGGCUGCAGUAACGAAUCUUCCGCAAUGCGCGAAAGCGUGACGGAGCAAUGCCGCGUGCAGGAUGAAGCCCCUUGGGGUGUAAACUGCUGUCAGGGGUCAGUAACACAAUGAACAACCCCAAAGGAAGGGCCGGCUAACUUCG